Molecule: ribosomal RNA, 1082 nt
Filed under: Triticum aestivum (bread wheat)
Lineage: Eukaryota; Viridiplantae; Streptophyta; Magnoliopsida; Poales; Poaceae
Description: partial small subunit ribosomal RNA
Source: RNAcentral
AUGAAACGGACAGAGUUAAUUCUGAGAGUAAAUUAGGCACAAUUAGCACCGAUCCACCAAGAACAGAACAGAAGAGGGCAGGGGAGGAGCUCAAAGAGUGUGAUCCUUUCCGUUCCGUUCCUUCGCGAGCCGUCGCUCAACCAAGCGAGCAAAAAUUACAACAUACUAGCACCGAGGACGAGCUACUCCGGACAAUUGAUUAAUAGUACGCCGCCGUCGCAUGCUCUACGCGGCGGAGCGGAUCGGCUCACUCGCUCACUCCGACGACGGUGCUGCGGCGGCCGAGGCGGAGGCCAUCCGGGGCGAGGUGACGGGGAACAGCGGCAGCAGGCGCGGCGGGGGCUCGCCGGCGCCGCCCCGGGGCGACGGGUGCAGGAAGAAGCCCUUCCGCGCGAUGGCCGCGCGCUCCGCGGCCGCCUCCUGCUCCGCCGGGGACGCCGACGCGGACCGGUUGAAGGGGUCGGACACCAGCGGCGUGACGGGGCUGAGCGCCAGCGACGGGAAGUCGAGCACGCUGGGCGACAGCAGCUCCGGCAGCGCCUUCCUCGGCGACGCCCCCGCGGCGGCCGCCAUGGCGAGCGGCGCGAUCAUCUUGAGGUUCUUCAUGCUGCUCCGGCGCUCGUAGAGCUUGAAAGCCGGCUUCUUGGGCCGGCACGGGGCGCCGGCCUUGCUGUUGGCGGCCGCGGGGGGCCUCUGGGCCUGGGCCUGCGGCUGCAAGGACGGCGCCGGCGGCGGCAUGUCGGCGCCGGUGAGCAUCUGGACGACCUGCUUGAAGGAGGCGGUGUCGGCCUGGACGAAGGUGGUGGGGAAGGGGGUGGUGUCGAUGGUGCGCGGCACGGGCCUCGGGGACGGCGGCAGCGGGCUGGGGCGGUGGUGGGAGGGCGACGCGGCGGAGGACGGCGAGGAGGAGGAGGUGGAGGAGGACGGGGAGUUGGGGUCCCGCGGCGCCAUGGGGAGGAGUUGCUUGGGCGCGGCAACUUCCAUUGUUGGUUGGUUGGUUUCGUCGGGGAUGGAUGAAGGAGGGAGGAAGGGGGGAAGGGGCUGGGUUCAGGGACGGCAGAGGGAGUGGGAAUAAGAAGGGG